UACGGAGGGUGCGAGCGUUGUCCGGAAUCACUGGGCGUAAAGGGCGCGUAGGUGGCGCGGGAAGUCCGUGGUGAAAGCCCGAGGCUCAACUUCGGGUCGGCCAUGGAUACUCCUGGGCUUGAGCACUGUAGAGGCAGGUGGAAUUCCGGGUGUAGCGGUGGAAUGCGUAGAGAUCCGGAAGAACACCGGUGGCGAAGGCGGCCUGCUGGGCAGUAGCUGACGCUGAGGCGCGACAGCGUGGGGAGCAAACAGG
RNAcentral lists this ribosomal RNA (253 nucleotides) under uncultured bacterium. RNAcentral's name for it is "partial 16S ribosomal RNA". It matches the Rfam family "Bacterial small subunit ribosomal RNA", at positions 524 to 776 of the family's 1533-position model. The record is from RNAcentral.